ACUCCCAAAAAUAAUUUAAAGCCAUGGUUGGACACCUCUAACACACGCUCUGGCUGCCCAACAGCAGAGGAUGGACACCCAAACAAAGCGACCCAAUUUUAUCUGCAAGACAUCUCGAGGACACUGAGAAGCUUCAGACUUCUGACAUGGAGGAAAUCAUAGUGGAGACAGUCCUUGCCCCAUGGGAGAUACUGCUGGUCAUUUUUGCUGCAGUGCUGAUAAUGAGUUUUCUCAUGUUGCUGCCUCCCGCUGCGGUGGUGAUCUGGAAAAUGAAGCACGUUCCGCAGAUCUCGUUGCAUGGCUCGGUGUGAGCCAGCCCUGGUCUGAGCUGUAGCACCACAGGUCCCUUGGACGGAUGGUUCAGAAUGAUAACACCCCUUGGGAUCAUACUUGUUGCCCAGGAUCCAUGCAAAACUGAUACGUUUCCCAGCCUAUUGUAGCUAACUUCCCAUGAAGAGAGAAUAGGGGUAAUUUUGCCUUCAUGUGCUACAGUUCUCAACACUUUGCCUUCCAUUUUUUGGCUAUGUUAUAAUUACUGUUCUUGGCUUAGUUCCUAGACUGACUACUUCUCUUGCAUUAUGAUGAAGACUGAAAGAGAAGCAAGCAUAAUACAGCAUUGUAUUCCCUUACCUAAUAUCAAGGAAACCUGCCUUUCUGUAGUUACACUGUAAAUAUUACCGAAGCCUUUAGCUAAGAUGACUGAGAGUUAUGCAGGUGGACAUGUCAAAAGCAUGCAGUACACUUUGGGGAGGCAGUGGCUUAGUCUGGCUGAACUGUGAAACCUAAACCAAACCAACAGAGAAUGGUGAAAUAAAUAAGCAUCUUAUGUUUCUUUGGUCUGAUCUGAAAACUUACUGGUCUAAUGUGUUUUUUUGUUUCUUUCAUUCUAUAUGCCCUCUCCUUCCUUCACAAAUCCUGAGUGCCAGAACACAAAGCCCUCCCCAUCCCAGGGCUGGAGCAGGAGCAUGAGGGUGGCCUGAUACUCAGACAUGCCCGGCCGGACACCGACUCGAAGUUUAAUGCAAACAUACAGCAACUAUUUGCCUGAAUUACAUUAUGCAAACUUACUCUGGGAAAUAGUGUGAUUAAAAUUAGUUUUUAACUGUGUUGUAAAGGCAUCCUGGUUCAACUUCCCUUUCUCAUAUAUAAAUAAUAACUUUGAUGGUGGCAAUAGAACAAAAUUGCUGCCCUACAAGUUUAUGGGGAAAAAAAAAAAAAGACAAAAACCAAACCAACCAACCAACAAACAAACACACCU
This 1258-nucleotide long non-coding RNA is filed under the name Columba livia (rock pigeon). Its description in RNAcentral is "partial uncharacterized LOC102097898". Lineage: Eukaryota; Metazoa; Chordata; Aves; Columbiformes; Columbidae. The record is from RNAcentral.